CUAAGGAUUUGGGCGAUCAAGCGCUCUGGUUACGUACCAGGGAAGAGCUUUCUCCCGUUCCAAAGAACAUAGCCGCCGUCCUCAUGUCCCUUCAUCCUAGGUUAGUCCGCGAGACGAAAUAGCGUCAGCUAUUUCGCCUGUCGGACAAGCUCGGCCAGCGCGGCGAAGCGCGCCAUAAGGCGCAGCUUUGCUGCGACUGACGGCGCGACGGGUGCGGGCCGGUAGCUCAGGUGGUUAGAGCGCACGCCUGAUAAGCGUGAGGUCGUAGGUUCAACUCCUACUCGGCCCACCAUCGCGAGUGAGGGGCUUUAGCUCAGCUGGGAGAGCGGUUGCUUUGCAAGCAUCAGGUCAUCGGUUCGAUCCCGAUAAGCUCCACCACUCGACCAAAACCUAGAGAUGAAGACAACAGUUCCGCUGUCGCAAGGCAGUGGUUUUGGGUCGAAUGCGACCCUCUUUGACAUUGUGAAUGGGUUCUUAAAAUCGAUGCCGUGAUGGUGUCGGUUGGGACAAGCGAAGCGCGGAUGCGCUGGCUCGCAAGGGCCGGGCAGCAUCGAGCGGGCGUCUCCCAUGCCGACUUCAAUCACUAAUAUCUGGCUGAGAUUAUAAUCAUCCACAUCAGCUGAGCCGCUCGGCGGCACGCUUUUACAGCGUGUCGACAGAUGGCCAGUUCAAAACCGCGAUACGCUGCUCUGCCGAGUUGGUGUUUGCGCAAGCAAACGCCCAGCGUUGUCGUUGGUGGUGUGGACUCU
RNAcentral lists this transfer RNA (749 nucleotides) under uncultured bacterium. Its description in RNAcentral is "16S-23S ribosomal RNA intergenic spacer". The stretch from base 216 to 289 matches the Rfam family "tRNA". The record is from RNAcentral.